GGGCCUUUAACUCAGUGGUAGAGUGCUCGCUUUGCAUGCGAGAAGGCGUGGGUUCAAUCCCCACAAGGUCCA
RNAcentral lists this transfer RNA (72 nucleotides) under Globodera rostochiensis. It matches the Rfam family "tRNA". From Rfam's summary of the family: Transfer RNA (tRNA) molecules are approximately 80 nucleotides in length. Lineage: Eukaryota; Metazoa; Nematoda; Chromadorea; Rhabditida; Heteroderidae. The record is from Rfam by way of RNAcentral.